This is a long non-coding RNA of Myotis brandtii (Brandt's bat), 1523 nucleotides long. RefSeq lists it as uncharacterized. The record is from RefSeq and is a predicted model, not a curated record. Lineage: Eukaryota; Metazoa; Chordata; Mammalia; Chiroptera; Vespertilionidae. The transcript has 3 exons.
UAUCAAAAGCUAUGUACAAUUUUACUGCCUCUGACAAGCAGUGAAAAGAAGUUGUUUUUCUCACUGCUUACCUCCUUGGUAAGUUGGUGAUGCCUCACAAAGAAGAUAUUACCCCCCACUUGAGUAAAGUGUCAGAUAUUUUCCAUCAUUUCAGUAGGAAUGGCAGCCAGAUCCAUCACUGCACAGUGAGCCAUGCCAGAGGGAAGGAUGUCCAGGAGUGGACCACAAAUUGCCUCCCAGGACUUUGGAUCAUUGUUCAUUAAUUGAGUGCUGACAGUGUGUUUGCCUCGCUGUUAAGUGAGAGAGAAGAAACAGACUCAAUUUUCGGCAUUCAAUGUCUGAGUCAGUCAGAUAGUACAUUGGGUAGAUUGAAAUACUCUGAUGGCUACAUCUCAGACAAUAAUUUUGUGCCAGAAUUAACUGGGAAUCAGCUGAGGCAGUCCUCAUAUAAAGCUGUAAGCUUGUUGAUGUGUACCAAGGCUGGGUUUGAUGUUGGAAUUGGUCUUUGGAGGUGAGAAAAGAGAAACAAUUUAUUUGUCUGGAAAUUUUCUUAGUCAUAGUCUCUAUGAAAAGAAGAGCGACUUUUUUUGACAUCAAGUUCAAGUCACAUUAGCAUUCUAUGGAGCAACAGUUGCAAGCCGACUGCUUUUUUUGGGUGUGAUAUUUGGACACUCUUCAGCCAAUGCCUUGAACAUACUUUUACACCCUCUUAUUGUUGUUGUUGUUACUGAAAAAUGAGAAAUCAGGAGGUCUCAGUGACCCAAAAACCAAGAGUUGAGGCAUAGUCAAGCUGACGAUGUUGAAAUGUCACUUCAACAGUCACAAAGAUGGUAAUGAUUUCUACUCUUAUGUUUUAUAGUUUAAAAGUACUUCUUGUAAAUAAACUGUGACACAUCCGGACAAUGGAAUACCAUUCAGUGCUAAAAUGAAAUGAGCUAUGAAACUAUGAAAAGAGUUGGAGAAACAUUAAAACAAGUUAGUAGGUGAAAUAAACCAAUCUGAAAAGGCUACCUACUGUGUGAUUUCCACUAUAUGACAUUCUGGAAAAGACAAAACUGAAGAGGAAAUAAAAAGAUUAGUGGUUUCCCAGCGUUAGGGACUAGGAAUAGAUGAAUAAGUGGAGCACAGAAUUUUUAUGUCAGUGAAACUAUUCUGUAUGAUACUAUAAUGGUGUGUACACAUCAGUAUUUACAUUUAUCAAAACCCAUAGAAUGUACAACCCAAGAGCAAACCUGAAGCUAAACUAUAGACUUUAUCUCCAUACCCUACAGUCUUUCUAUUACCUUUCACAGCUUUUUGUGAAUGAGCCUUAGAGGGCACAACUAAGUAUGAAAGUUACGAGACAAGAUUAGAAUUAAAUGGACAAAGCAUUCCAAAUUUAAAAAGCACAGAAAAAAUGACAUUAAUGUAUGAGAGAUAUACCUAAACAAAAAGGAAUCACUGUAAACUGUGUAAAUACCUAUAAAAUAGUGUUUUUAAAUAUGAAAUAUUGAAAAGUGAAAAAAAUUGCUCUAGCAUAUGAU